CAAUGGGCGGGAGCCUGAACCAGCCAAGUCGCGUGAGGGAAGAAGGUGCUGAGCAUUGUAAACCUCUUUUGCCGGGGAACAAACGCCGUCACGAGCUGGCGGUUUGAGUGUACCCGGAAGAAAAAGCAUCGGCUAACUCCGUGCC
Molecule: ribosomal RNA, 145 nt
Filed under: uncultured bacterium
Lineage: Bacteria
Description: partial 16S ribosomal RNA
Rfam family: Bacterial small subunit ribosomal RNA
Source: RNAcentral